GUAGGUGGCAAGCGUUGUCCGGAAUUAUUGGGCGUAAAGCGCGCGCAGGCGGUUCUUUAAGUCUGAUGUGAAAGCCCACGGCUCAACCGUGGAGGGUCAUUGGAAACUGGAGAACUUGAGUACAGAAGAGGAAAGCGGAAUUCCACGUGUAGCGGUGAAAUGCGUAGAGAUGUGGAGGAACACCAGUGGCGAAGGCGGCUUUCUGGUCUGUAACUGACGCUGAGGCGCGAAAGCGUGGGGAGCAAACAGGGAUUAGAUACCCUGGUAGUCCAUGCCGUAAACGAUGAGUGCUAAGUGUUAGGGGGUUUCCGCCCCCCUUAGUGCUGCAGCUAACGCAUUAAGCACUCCGCCUGGGAGUACGGCCGCAAGGCUG
This 373-nucleotide ribosomal RNA is filed under the name uncultured organism. Its description in RNAcentral is "partial 16S ribosomal RNA". It matches the Rfam family "Bacterial small subunit ribosomal RNA", at positions 527 to 896 of the family's 1533-position model. The record is from RNAcentral.